This is a non-coding RNA of Caenorhabditis elegans, 217 nucleotides long. NCBI's taxonomy places the organism in Eukaryota, Metazoa, Nematoda, Chromadorea, Rhabditida, Rhabditidae. The record is from Ensembl.
AGAGAAUUGGUGGAGCGGCUGGCUUGCGGAGCGGCUUCUUCUCUCCAUGAUGUUGUUUACCAUAACGAUUUAUGUUAUAAUUCUCUUUUCAAGCCCACAACCUACUAUCCGACUAAGGCGGGAGACCUUCUCCUUCCUCUCACAUAAGCAUUGCCGAACAGUCAUGUUGAACAGGAUGAUCAUCGACAGUGACAACGAACAUUACGUAGGAUGAUUG